CUGCUAUCGGAUUGAUACUAAGCCAUGCGAGUCAUUGCAGUAAUGCAAGGCAGACGGCUCAGUAACGCGUAGUCGACCUACCCUAUGGACGGGAAUAACCUCGGGAAACUGAGUAUAAUGCCCGAUGGAACACUAUACCUGGAAUGGUUUGUGUUCCAAAUGAAUGUCGCCGUAGGAUGGGACUGCGGCCUAUCAGUUUGUUGGUGAGGUAAUGGCCCACCAAGACUAUUACAGGUACGGGCUCUGAGAGGAGUAGCCCGGAGAUGGGUACUGAGACACGGACCCAGGCCCUAUGGGGCGCAGCAGGCGAGAAAACUUUGCAAUGUGCGAAAGCACGACAAGGUUAAUCCGAGUGGUUUGUGCUAAACGAACCUUUUGACAGUCCUAGAAACACUGUUGAAUAAGGGGUGGGCAAGUUCUGGUGUCAGCCGCCGCGGUAAAACCAGCACCUCAAGUGGUCAGGAUGAUUAUUGGGCCUAAAGCAUCCGUAGCCGGCUCUAUAAGUUUUCGGUUAAAUCUGUACGCUCAACGUACAGGCUGCCGGGAAUACUGCAGAGCUAGGGAGUGGGAGAGGUAGACGGUACUCGGUAGGAAGGGGUAAAAUCCUUUGAUCUAUUGAUGACCACCUGUGGCGAAGGCGGUCUACCAGAACACGUCCGACGGUGAGGGAUGAAAGCUGGGGGAGCAAACCGGAUUAGAUACCCGGGUAGUCCCAGCUGUAAACUAUGCAAACUCAGUGAUGCAUUGGCUUGUGGCCAAUGCAGUGCUGCAGGGAAGCCGUUAAGUUUGCCGCCUGGGAAGUACGUACGCAAGUAUGAAACUUAAAGGAAUUGGCGGGGGAGCACCACAAGGGGUGAAGCCUGCGGUUCAAUU
RNAcentral lists this ribosomal RNA (873 nucleotides) under uncultured archaeon. RNAcentral describes it as "bacterial SSU rRNA". It matches the Rfam family "Archaeal small subunit ribosomal RNA", at positions 27 to 907 of the family's 1478-position model. The record is from RNAcentral.